ACAGCAUUAUAUUCAGUUCUUAUCCUUUGAAAAGAAUAUUUGUUAUACUCUUUAUCUGAAAAGUUAAUAUCUUAUACUUUGAAAUGAAACCUGUGCUUCAGGAUCUUAAAAGUAUAGAUUGUCGGCUCUUUCUUCAACCUCAGUUGCUCUACCCUAGAAGGACCCAUGGUUCUUAUUACUUCAUGGGGUUGAUCUCUCCUACUAAUAAUGAUGUCAACAAAGAAUUUAAUAAAUUAUCCUUCGUUCAUCUCUAUCCCAUAUAUUGGGUCUGUCAGUCCCAACUUUCUUAUUAUCUCAGCUAAUAUUAUCUUAGAGGAUAUAUCAUCAAUUAUCUCCA
Molecule: long non-coding RNA, 337 nt
Filed under: Elaeis guineensis (African oil palm)
Lineage: Eukaryota; Viridiplantae; Streptophyta; Magnoliopsida; Arecales; Arecaceae
Description: long non-coding RNA (EGUI_LNC034032)
Source: RNAcentral